CAAUUACUCCUUCCGUCCGGAAAUAUUUGUCAUUAAAAUGAAUAAAAAAAGAUAUAUCUACAUGUAUUUUAGUUCUAUAUACAUCUUUUUCUGUUCAUUUUGAUCACAAGUAUUUUUGGACCGAGGGAGUAUCUG
Molecule: non-coding RNA, 135 nt
Organism: Triticum aestivum (bread wheat)
Lineage: Eukaryota; Viridiplantae; Streptophyta; Magnoliopsida; Poales; Poaceae
Source: Rfam